This 913-nucleotide ribosomal RNA is filed under the name uncultured archaeon. Its description in RNAcentral is "bacterial SSU rRNA". It matches the Rfam family "Archaeal small subunit ribosomal RNA", at positions 1 to 922 of the family's 1478-position model. The record is from RNAcentral.
UUCCGGUUGAUCCUGCCGGAGGUCACUGCUAUUGGGAUUCGAUUAAGCCAUGCGAGUCGAGAGGGUUCGGCCCUCGGCUGACGGCUCAGUAACACGUGGAUAAUCUGCCCUUAGGUGGAGGAUAACCUCGGGAAACUGAGAAUAAUACUCCAUAGAUCUAGAAGGCUGGAAUGCAUCUAGAUUGAAAGUUCCGACGCCUAAGGAUGAGUCCGCGGACUAUCAGGUAGUAGUCAGGGUAAAGACCUGACUAGCCUACGACGGAUACGGGUUGUGAGAGCAAUAACCCGGAGACGAUAUCUGAGACACGAUAUCGGGCCCUACGGGGCGCAGCAGGCGCGAAAACUUCACACUGUGCGAAAGCACGAUGAGGGAAUCCCAAGUGCUGGUUCGAAAGAGUCAGCUGUUUCAUUGUCUAAAAAACAGAGAGAGUAAGAGCUGGGUAAGACGGGUGCCAGCCGCCGCGGUAAUACCUGCAGCUCGAGUGGUGGCCACUAUUAUUGGGCCUAAAACGUCCGUAGCCGGUUUAGUAAAUGCCUGGGUAAAUUGUGUAGCUUAACUAUACGAACUCCGGGUAGACUGCUAGACUAGAGAUCGGGAGAGGCUAGAGGUACUCCUGGGGUAGAGGUGAAAUUCUGUAAUCCUAGGGGGACCACCAGUGGCGAAGGCGUCUAGCUAGAACGAGUCUGACGGUGAGGGACGAAGCCCUGGGGCGCAAACCGGAUUAGAUACCCGGGUAGUCCAGGGUGUAAACGCUGCUUGCUUGAUGUUAGUUGGGCUCCGAGCCCAACUAGUGUCGGAGAGAAGUUGUUAAGCAAGCUGCCUGGGAAGUACGGUCGCAAGGCUGAAACUUAAAGGAAUUGACGGGGAGCACAGCAACGGGUGGAGCGUGCGGUUUAAUUGGAUUCACGCCGGA